This 214-nucleotide unclassified non-coding RNA is filed under the name fungal sp. RNAcentral describes it as "partial internal transcribed spacer region". The stretch from base 1 to 46 matches the Rfam family "Eukaryotic small subunit ribosomal RNA", at positions 1786 to 1831 of the family's 1831-position model. Lineage: Eukaryota; Fungi. The record is from RNAcentral.
AAGUCGUAACAAGGUUUCCGUAGGUGAACCUGCGGAAGGAUCAGUAGAGAUUGCCGGCGCAAGCCGGUCCUACACCACACACACCAGUGAACCGUUGGGGACAGCGAAUUGGCUUCACGCCUUAAUAGCGCCCGUUUACAAACUCUUAGAAACGUAACGAACGUAGUCUUAUUUUAACAAAUAAAACUUUCAACAACGGAUCUCUUGGCUCCCA